GCGACCCGCUAGGGGGCCGGAAGCUGUUUUGCCUGAAGGUUCGCGCGCCUUUUGGAAUUUAUUUAGCAAGCUGUGGAACCGGAUUCUUAACGAUUGGAGACACACGGCCAGUUACUUCAGUUCAGGCCAAAUGACCUUCAUAGGGAGCAAAGCUCAGUGUUCUGUGCCUCCUGUUAAGAGAGAGAGUCCGUGAAGGUUUCUUUUUUUAAUGGCCUCAGCUAAUGCCAUUUAACGCUUUUUGAGGAUGAGAAGGACUGGUCAAACCCACAUUUAUGCCAUCACCAUAUACUAUGGUUCUUCAUCUGCAAAGUCAGGGUAAUUGAGCUCAGGCUCGGCAGCCAGACAGCAUUUCUUUGAAUCCUGACUAUCAGUAGAUUUUCAGGAUCAAAGGGCUCCUGGCCAAGAAACAAGCAGAAUCGUCCCGUUCUCCUUUGACUUUGGAUGAAAACUGGCAAUAAAAUCAGGCCCAAUUCCAAGAGGAGAUAUUAGAGAGCUGUUGGAGUUCGGAGCUUAUUUUGGGCAUGACAAGAUGAAGACAAACAUUUUAGGUAUGUAGUUGAGGAAGAACAGUUUAGGACAAACUGCUUCUUAACCAGAGAAAACAGUGGUUGACCUAUUCUUGUGUGAUGUCUUACUUGGCUGCCAUAGAAAAGUGGACAAGGAUUUCAAGCUAAAUGGAGGUAAUUCUUUGGGUUGAUCUUGUGACUACUCCUUAACAAACCUUCAUUUGGUAGCCUCGGCAUAGGAAUAAGAGCUUCUUGUUGAGGAAGACCAUUCCUCUAACUCUACUAUCCAAGAUAGUAACAAAAAUAAUAUAUUCUGAGGGGUGAAGAGAGGCAGGCACAGGAUUGGAUACCAAAAUAAGACAAGCUGGUUCAGACUGGACUGGUUAAACUUCAAGAUUGGAAAAUGGAGUAGAUGAAGAAGUGAU
Long non-coding RNA from Talpa occidentalis (Iberian mole), 931 nucleotides. RefSeq lists it as uncharacterized. Lineage: Eukaryota; Metazoa; Chordata; Mammalia; Eulipotyphla; Talpidae. The record is from RefSeq and is a predicted model, not a curated record. The transcript is spliced from 6 exons.